ACUCCUACGGGAGGCAGCAGUGGGGAAUAUUGCACAAUGGGCGCAAGCCUGAUGCAGCAACGCCGCGUGAGGGACGACGGCCUUCGGGUUGUAAACCUCUUUUAGUAGGGAAGAAGCGAAAGUGACGGUACCUGCAGAAAAAGCACCGGCUAACUACGUGCCAGCAGCCGCGGUAAUACGUAGGGUGCAAGCGUUAUCCGGAAUUAUUGGGCGUAAAGAGCUCGUAGGCGGUUUGUCGCGUCUGCUGUGAAAACUGGAGGCUCAACCUCCAGCCUGCAGUGGGUACGGGCAGACUAGAGUGCGGUAGGGGAGAUUGGAAUUCCUGGUGUAGCGGUGGAAUGCGCAGAUAUCAGGAGGAACACCGAUGGCGAAGGCAGAUCUCUGGGCCGUAACUGACGCUGAGGAGCGAAAGCAUGGGGAGCGAACAGGAUUAGAUACCCUGGUAGUCCAUGCCGUAAACGUUGGGAACUAGAUGUAGGGACCAUUCCACGGUUUCUGUGUCGCAGCUAACGCAUUAAGUUCCCCGCCUGGGGAGUACGGCCGCAAGGCUAAAACUCAAAGGAAUUGACGGGGGCCCGCACAAGCGGCGGAGCAUGCGGAUUAAUUCGAUGCAACGCGAAGAACCUUACCAAGGCUUGACAUAUACCGGAAAAGUUCAGAGAUGUUCUCCCCGCAAGGUCGGUAUACAGGUGGUGCAUGGUUGUCGUCAGCUCGUGUCGUGAGAUGUUGGGUUAAGUCCCGCAACGAGCGCAACCCUCGUUCUAUGUUGCCAGCACGUAAUGGUGGGAACUCAUAGGAGACUGCCGGGGUCAACUCGGA
This 819-nucleotide ribosomal RNA is filed under the name uncultured Actinomycetes bacterium. RNAcentral's name for it is "bacterial SSU rRNA". It matches the Rfam family "Bacterial small subunit ribosomal RNA", at positions 335 to 1167 of the family's 1533-position model. Lineage: Bacteria; Bacillati; Actinomycetota; Actinomycetes. The record is from RNAcentral.